CUGCCAGUCUGACUGCAGCUGAGCCUGCACUGACUAAGUCCACCAAGGAUGCUGCCAGUCUGACUGCAGCUGAGCCUGCGCCGACUAAGUCCACCAAUGCCGCCGACAGUCUGACUGCAGUUGAGCCUGUGCCGACUAAGUCCACCAAUGCCGCUGACAGUCUGACUGCAGUUGAGCCUGUGCCGACUAAGUCUACCAUUGCCGCUGACAGUCUGGCUGCAGAUGAGCCUGCGCCGACUAAGUCCACCACUGCCGCUGAAGGUCUGACUGCAGAUGAGCCUGCGCCGACUAAGUCCACCACUGCCGCUGACGGUCUGACUGCAGAUGAGCCCGAGAUGUCCCUUACAUAUGCUGCUGACAGUACUGUGUCAGGUGACUCAGGACCAGCUAGUCACAUUGGAUUGGAUUAUGUAGUUGAUUUACCUCUUUACAAGGAGAGUACAAGUGAAGAAGAAAUAUUUUAUACUGCUUCUUCAGAUAAGGAAUCUUCUUUUAUUCCUGACAUAGAAGAAGGUCUGCCUGCUACUCAGGCACCUGUUGAUAAUUUUGAUGCUUCUGUGUCAGCUGAACCAAUAAACCACAGCAUGAACCCUCUCAGGGUGGGUGGAUAUCUUCGGGCACCAGCGAUAGCACACAUCCCCUUUUUGCCUUUUAUAUGGCUUGUAUCCUCACUUUUCUCUGUCAUAACAUGGAUGAAAAUCCAAAUUCAACAUGCAUGGCAUGAAGAAAAUGGCCAAGGAGCUCCUACUGACAAAAAAGUUGGAUCAGUGGCUGCGGCUCCUGAUCCCUAGACCCUUGAUGUUCCUCCAGGAUCGAUUGGAAUGCCACAGCAGUCUGUGUGGGAGAAUUGAUCAUAUAUAUAAAUUGUAGAGUUAAAGGUAUAAUGUGAUAGUAGACUGAAGUAAAAAUUUAUUGUUUCACUGGAGACUCAGUUGUGCCAUGUGAUGC
Molecule: long non-coding RNA, 948 nt
Organism: Rattus norvegicus (Norway rat)
Lineage: Eukaryota; Metazoa; Chordata; Mammalia; Rodentia; Muridae
Source: Ensembl